AACAGGGAUUGCUCUAGUAACGGCGAGUGAAGCAGCAAUAGCUCAAAUUUGAAAUCUGGCGCCUUCGGCGUCCGAGUUGUAAUUUGUAGAGGAUGCUUCUGGGCAGCCACCGACCUAAGUUCCUUGGAACAGGACGUCAUAGAGGGUGAGAAUCCCGUAUGCGGUCGGAAAGGCACCCUACACGUAGCUCCUUCGACGAGUCGAGUUGUUUGGGAAUGCAGCUCUAAAUGGGAGGUAAAUUUCUUCUAAAGCUAAAUAUUGGCCAGAGACCGAUAGCGCACAAGUAGAGUGAUCGAAAGAUGAAAAGCACUUUGGAAAGAGAGUUAAAAAGCACGUGAAAUUGUUGAAAGGGAAGGGAUUGCAACCAGACUUGCUCGCGGUGUUCCGCCGGUCUUCUGACCGGUCUACUCGCCGCGUUGCAGGCCAGCAUCGUCUGGUGCCGCUGGAUAAGACUUGAGGAAUGUAGCUCCCUCGGGAGUGUUAUAGCCUCUUGUGAUGCAGCGAGCGCCGGGCGAGGUCCGCGCUUCGGCUAGGAUGCUGGCGUAAUGGUUGUAAUCCGCCCGUCUUGAAACACGGACCAAGGAGUCUAACAUCUAUGCGAGUGUUCGGGUGUCAAACCCCUACGCGUAAUGAAAGUGAACGGAGGUGAGAACCGCAAGGUGCAUCAUCGACCGAUCCUGAUGUCUUCGGAUGGAUUUGAGUAUGAGCAUAGCUGUUGGGACCCGAAAGAUGGUGAACUAUGCCUGAAUAGGGUGAAGCCAGAGGAAACUCUGGUGGAGGCU
This 782-nucleotide ribosomal RNA is filed under the name Cladosporium halotolerans. RNAcentral describes it as "eukaryotic LSU rRNA". It matches the Rfam family "Eukaryotic large subunit ribosomal RNA", at positions 67 to 875 of the family's 3401-position model. Lineage: Eukaryota; Fungi; Ascomycota; Dothideomycetes; Cladosporiales; Cladosporiaceae. The record is from RNAcentral.